AUGGCUGUGGAGGCGGUUCUUGAAGCGGCAACGAUGAGACCGUCGCCGCCGAGCAAGGAGAUGGAGGCGUCUACUAGUACCAGCGAGGAGGCGUCGGCGUUGUUGGGGCAGGCGGAGGGGUGGUCGAAGCGGAAGCGCUCGAGGCGGCCGCGCGCGCUCGACCCCAGCGAGGAGUACCUCGCGCUCUGCCUCCUCAUGCUGGCGCACGGCCACCGCGACAGCGCCACUGCUGCAGCGCCGGAGCAGCAGCACGGGUGCUCCGUCUGCGGCAAGGUGUUCGCGUCCUACCAGGCGCUCGGCGGCCACAAGGCCAGCCAUCGGAAGCCGACAGCGGCGCCGGCUGGCGCAGCGGACCAGAAACCGCAGGCGGCGGUGGCGGCAGCUUCCUUGUCGGGGUCCGGCGAGGCCGCGGCCGGCGCCGGAGGCGGCAAGGUGCACGAGUGCAACGUGUGCAGGAAGACGUUCCCGACUGGGCAGGCGCUGGGCGGCCACAAGCGGUGCCACUACGACGGCACCAUCGGCAGCGCCGCCGCGGGGCCCACGCACAAGCUGGCUGCCAAGGCGGCCGCGGCCAGCGCGACGGCGGCGAGCCGGGGCUUCGACCUGAACCUGCCGGCGCUGCCGGACAUCCCGGAGCGGCGCGCGGUCACGGAAGAUGGGGAGGAGGUUCUCAGCCCCGUUUCCUUCAAGAAGCCGAGGCUCAUGCUCACGGCGUAA
Molecule: ribosomal RNA, 717 nt
Filed under: Triticum aestivum (bread wheat)
Lineage: Eukaryota; Viridiplantae; Streptophyta; Magnoliopsida; Poales; Poaceae
Description: partial small subunit ribosomal RNA
Source: RNAcentral